CAUCGAACUGAUGCCGACUAUAAUCGUGUAAAUACGAAUGGAGAACGAAGUGUAUUGGAUAGAUCAGCGUAGUUACUGAUGUGUGGCAAACAAUAUUCAUGCGAGCCUGUGAGCUAGUAAUGACAUGAAUAUUGUUGGCAUUAGUGGUUAACGUUAAAUGUGGCACAUAAACAUCUGAAAUGACUUCAUUUUUGCUCGUCUCGUUGGUCGAGUUGGAUAGGCGCUGGAUUUAUAAACCAGAGGUUGCUAGUUCAAGCCCAGCUGUAGACAACAUGAGCAAAAAUGCUUUCACUUCAGAUUUUGAUGUCUAGUAUGCUUCACUUAAUAAAAAUUAAAAUUUGUUGGUUUCACACCAGAGUUCAUAGGAACUCAUAAUUCUCGUAGACAGAAAUUAAAU
This is a long non-coding RNA of Bradysia coprophila, 397 nucleotides long. The record is from RefSeq and is a predicted model, not a curated record. Lineage: Eukaryota; Metazoa; Arthropoda; Insecta; Diptera; Sciaridae.